GACGAACGCUGGCGGCGUGCCUAAUACAUGCAAGUUGAGCGCUGAAGGUUGGUACUUGUACCAACUGGAUGAGCAGCGAACGGGUGAGUAACGCGUGGGGAAUCUGCCUUUAAGCGGGGGACAACAUUUGGAAACGAAUGCUAAUACCGCAUAAAAACUUUAAACACAAGUUUUAAGUUUGAAAGAUGCAAUUGCAUCACUCAAAGAUGAUCCCGCGUUGUAUUAGCUAGUUGGUGAGGUAAAGGCUCACCAAGGCGAUGAUACAUAGCCGACCUGAGAGGGUGAUCGGCCACAUUGGGACUGAGACACGGCCCAAACUCCUACGGGAGGCAGCAGUAGGGAAUCUUCGGCAAUGGACGAAAGUCUGACCGAGCAACGCCGCGUGAGUGAAGAAGGUUUUCGGAUCGUAAAACUCUGUUGGUAGAGAAGAACGUUGGUGAGAGUGGAAAGCUCAUCAAGUGACGGUAACUACCCAGAAAGGGACGGCUAACUACGUG
This 497-nucleotide ribosomal RNA is filed under the name uncultured bacterium. Its description in RNAcentral is "partial 16S ribosomal RNA". It matches the Rfam family "Bacterial small subunit ribosomal RNA", at positions 28 to 507 of the family's 1533-position model. The record is from RNAcentral.